UUCGUUAUUGCAAAAAAAGAGUUUUAAGAAUAUUUUUCCUUUAUAAAAAUGUCUCUAGCCACAGGAAGAUCUCCUGGGUUGCCUGGCAUAUUGGAAUCACACUUAAUAUCCUUAAAUCGUUAUAAUUGCUUAUUGUGUGAUAAAAUUAGUGAUUCCAGUUUGAUGCCGUCAAUAUAAUUGUGGUCUUUUGCAUUUUUAUCAAAUGUAUUUUUCGCAAUCAUGACUACUAAUUGUUUGGUGCUUGUUUUGUUCGGUUUAGUCUUAUUUUGCUGUCAACAGUGUGAAAAACAGAGGAGGUUCUUAAGCUUUAUAUCACCAUAAACGUAUGGCCGUGUUGCAGAAGUAUAAGGUGGUUACUACAUCUACUUCCGUAAAAGGGUAAAAUUGUUUAGUAAAAUUUUAUUAAUCGGUAAGAGAAAGAAAUAAAUCUAAGUCAUUAAGAGUUGUCUUUUAAUGAAAAAUUUAAAUCUAUAGAGCCUCUAUAAAUAUUGUACUUCGUCCAUUCCAAAAUUUAAGAUUAUUAUUGUUUUUUUAAAGUUCAAUUUGAGAUAUUUUUAAAUUUAUAAUUGAUAUUUUUAAAUUUAAAAGUCAUUCAGAUGUUUUAUACUUUUUAGUUACUAAAUAGUUUUUUAAGUUCAUAUGUUAUUUCACUAAGAUGAUCUAAUUUAUUUAGAUAUACUAAUUGUUCAGUUUUAUCAAACAUCAAUUAAGUGUGUUCUACUUGGACACCCUUAAGGAUAUAACAUUUAAGUUUAAAAAUUAAUAUUUUUACAUGUUAAAAUGAUAUUUCUAUACGAGUCUCUCCCACAUAGAGGUAGGACUCUCACUAUUCAUUUGAGAGAGAUAAUGUAGAAAUAUUAUUUUUUAUGUGAAAAUAUCAGUUCUCUUAAGUUUCCACGCUUUUAUUCAUCGCCUACUAAGCAACAAAAAGUGAAAUAUUAAAGGUGGUUGAUAUUUUCACAUGUAUUUUUUAUAUUUUUCAUGGUCAUAUCUCACAUAAGCAUACAGUGGGUCAUACAUUCAUCUGAAAAGGAACCAUGUAAACAUUGUUACGAAAACUGAAUGGACAGACUAUAUAUAUAUAUAUAUAUAUAUAUAUAUAUAUAUAUAUAUAUAUAUAAACUUAUCUCAAGUAAAUCAAAUUGCAGCAGAAGAUUUGUCAAGGUUAGUACUUGGUACUAUGUCCUUAAGACAAUUAUGUCAUCCUUAUGGUGUUCAGAGUUGAUAGCACUUGUUUCUCAGAUAUAAUGACAACGUAUACUAUAGUAGCACUACAAAUAGUAUAAUUUAUGAACCAAUUAUAAUGUUCAGAACUCUCUCUAAAUGAACUAUGAAAUAAAUACUAGAAAUGAACACUAGAAAUGAACUAUGAAAUGUUUGGAUUUGAAUGAUCGAAGUAGCUGCCUGCUAGUCAAUUUAUAGGAGGGGUUAGUGACCAUUCUGAUGGGACACAAGCACUUGAAAAGACAUGGGAUGCUUUGGUCAAAACGACGUAGUUUUGCGCCUUUGCAAAAUGGGCACGUUCGUUCGGACAAAAAACGAUGUAAUUUUGGGCCUUACCAAAAAGGGCGCUUUCGUUCGCUAAAACGACGUUUUGGGGCAUCCGAUCGAGCAGAUAAUGACAUAGUUUUAAUAAUAGAACUAAUAAAAUAAAAAAUAAUUAAAUUUUAUCCAAAAAAUUAUAUACAAUGACCCAGACCCUCG
This 1704-nucleotide long non-coding RNA is filed under the name Panax ginseng (ginseng). RNAcentral describes it as "long non-coding RNA (PGIN_LNC010293)". The record is from RNAcentral. Lineage: Eukaryota; Viridiplantae; Streptophyta; Magnoliopsida; Apiales; Araliaceae.